GAAUGAAACGCCCGCCACAGAGCUUCACACAUGCCAAGUUCGAGGGGCAGCACGGCCUUAGCUUAGCUAAGAGCCGAAGGCGACCGGCGCACGGGUGAGUAACACGUAUCCAACCUGCCGUCUACUCUCGGACAGCCUUCUGAAAGGAAGAUUAAUACAAGAUGGCAUCAUGAGUCCGCAUGUUCACAUGAUUAAAGGUAUUCCGGUAGACGAUGGGGAUGCGUUCCAUUAGAUAGUAGGCGGGGUAACGGCCCACCUAGUCUUCGAUGGAUAGGGGUUUCUGAGAGGAAGGUCCCCCACAUUGGAACUGAGACACGGUCCAAACUCCUACGGGAGGCAGCAGUGAGGAAUAUUGGUCAAUGGGCGAGAGCCUGAACCAGCCAAGUAGCGUGAAGGAUGACUGCCCUAUGGGUUGUAAACUUCUUUUAUAAAGGAAUAAAGUCGGGUGUGGAUACCCGUUUGCAUGUACUUUAUGAAUAAGGAUCGGCUAACUCCGUGCCAGCAGCCGCGGUAAUACGGAGGAUCCGAGCGUUAUCCGGAUUUAUUGGGUUUAAAGGGAGCGUAGAUGGAUGUUUAAGUCAGUUGUGAAAGUUUGCGGCUCAACCGUAAAAUUGCAGUUGAUACUGGAUAUCUUGAGUGCAGUUGAGGCAGGCGGAAUUCGUGGUGUAGCGGUGAAAUGCUUAGAUAUCACGAAGAACUCCGAUUGCGAAGGCAGCCUGCUAAGCUGCAACUGACAUUGAGGCUCGAAAGUGUGGGUAUCAAACAGGAUUAGAUACCCUGGUAGUCCACACGGUAAACGAUGAAUACUCGCUGUUUGCGAUAUACUGCAAGCGGCCAAGCGAAAGCGUUAAGUAUUCCACCUGGGGAGUACGCCGGCAACGGUGAAACUCAAAGGAAUUGACGGGGGCCCGCACAAGCGGAGGAACAUGUGGUUUAAUUCGAUGAUACGCGAGGAACCUUACCCGGGCUUAAAUUGCAGAUGAAUUACGGUGAAAGCCGUAAGCCGCAAGGCAUCUGUGAAGGUGCUGCAUGGUUGUCGUCAGCUCGUGCCGUGAGGUGUCGGCUUAAGUGCCAUAACGAGCGCAACCCUUGUUGUCAGUUACUAACAGGUUCCGCUGAGGACUCUGACAAGACUGCCAUCGUAAGAUGUGAGGAAGGUGGGGAUGACGUCAAAUCAGCACGGCCCUUACGUCCGGGGCUACACACGUGUUACAAUGGGGGGUACAGAGGGCCGCUACCACGCGAGUGGAUGCCAAUCCCCAAAACCUCUCUCAGUUCGGACUGGAGUCUGCAACCCGACUCCACGAAGCUGGAUUCGCUAGUAAUCGCGCAUCAGCCACGGCGCGGUGAAUACGUUCCCGGGCCU
RNAcentral lists this ribosomal RNA (1366 nucleotides) under uncultured bacterium. Its description in RNAcentral is "bacterial SSU rRNA". It matches the Rfam family "Bacterial small subunit ribosomal RNA", at positions 26 to 1381 of the family's 1533-position model. The record is from RNAcentral.